UGGGAUAACGCCCGGAAACGGGUGCUAAUACCGGAUAUUCACUGGCCUUCGCAUGGGGGUUGGUGGAAAGGUUUUUUCUGGUGGGGGAUGGGCUCGCGGCCUAUCAGCUUGUUGGUGGGGUGAUGGCCUACCAGGGCUUUGACGGGUAGCCGGCCUGAGAGGGUGACCGGUCACAUUGGGACUGAGAUACGGCCCAG
Molecule: ribosomal RNA, 197 nt
Filed under: uncultured Actinomycetales bacterium
Lineage: Bacteria; Bacillati; Actinomycetota; Actinomycetes; Actinomycetales
Description: partial 16S ribosomal RNA
Rfam family: Bacterial small subunit ribosomal RNA
Source: RNAcentral